GCCAGGUGCUGUGGCUCACACCUGUAAUCCCAGCACUUUAGGAGGCCUAGGAAGGAGGAUCACUUGAGCCCAGGAGUUUGAGACCAGCCUGGGCAACAUGGUGAGACUCUUGUCUCUACAAAAAUUUUAAAAAUUAGCUGGGCAUGGUGGUGUGUACCUGUGGUCCCAGCUACUCAGGAGGCUUAGGUGGGAGGAUCACUUGAGCCCAGGAGGUUGCGCUGCAGUGAUCCAUGAUUGCACCACUGCACUCUAGCCUGGGCAACAGAGUGAGACCCUCUCUAA
Molecule: small RNA, 282 nt
Filed under: Pan troglodytes (chimpanzee)
Lineage: Eukaryota; Metazoa; Chordata; Mammalia; Primates; Hominidae
Source: RNAcentral